Small nucleolar RNA from Sorex araneus (European shrew), 140 nucleotides. RefSeq annotates it as small nucleolar RNA SNORA29. The transcript has a single exon. The record is from RefSeq and is a predicted model, not a curated record. Lineage: Eukaryota; Metazoa; Chordata; Mammalia; Eulipotyphla; Soricidae.
GUUCCCGUUUCACUGCCAUGUUUUCUCCUACUAAUAGAUUUUUGUGGCCGUGAUUGUGGGAUUGAGUGAAAUUGCUGUGAUGUGAAGAGGGACAACUUCUUUGUGUCCUGCUCCUGUAUGGAAUGGCAGAAAAGGGAAAC